AUUGAACGCUGGCGGCAUGCCUAACACAUGCAAGUCGAACGAAAGCACGGGUGCUUGCAUCUGGUGGCGAUUGGCGAACGGGUGAGUAAUACAUCGGGACAUGUCCCGUAGUGGGGUAUAGCCCGGCGAAAGCAGGAUUGAUACCGCAUACGAACUACGUAUAACAGCUGGUGACCUACUGACCUCGGGCUAUGGGGUUGGCCGUCGGCUGAUUAGCUAGUUGGUAGGGUAAAGGCAUACCAACGCGACGAUGAGUAGCUGGUCUGAGAGGACGACCAGCCACACUGGAACUGAGACACGGCCCAGACUCCUACGGGAGGCAGCAGUGGGGAAUUUUGGGCAAUGGGCGAAAGCCUGACCCAGCAACGCCGCGUGUGUGAAGAAGGCCUUCGGGUUGUAAAGCACUUUUGUCCGGAAAGAAAAACUUGGCACUAAUACGGUCGGGGGAUGACGGUACCGGAACAAUAAGCACCGGCUAACUACGUG
RNAcentral lists this ribosomal RNA (486 nucleotides) under uncultured bacterium. RNAcentral describes it as "partial 16S ribosomal RNA". It matches the Rfam family "Bacterial small subunit ribosomal RNA", at positions 30 to 507 of the family's 1533-position model. The record is from RNAcentral.